Molecule: ribosomal RNA, 483 nt
Filed under: uncultured bacterium
Lineage: Bacteria
Description: bacterial SSU rRNA
Rfam family: Bacterial small subunit ribosomal RNA
Source: RNAcentral
GACGAACGCUGGCGGCGUGCCUAACACAUGCAAGUCGAGCGGAGUCGAUCGACGGAAGCCUUCGGGCGGAAGAUGGUUGACUUAGCGGCGGAUGGGUGAGUAACGCGUGGGCAACCUGCCUCGAAGACCGGGAUAACAGCCCGAAAGGGCUGCUAAUACCGGAUGUGGUCAAGGAUCCGCAUGGAUUUUGAUUAAAGGGGAAACCCGUUUCGAGAUGGGCCCGCGUCCUAUCAGCUAGUUGGUGAGGUAAAAAGCUCACCAAGGCGACGACGGGUAGCCGGCCUGAGAGGGUGACCGGCCACACUGGAACUGAGACACGGUCCAGACUCCUACGGGGGGCAGCAGUGGGGAAUCUUCCACAAUGGGCGAAAGCCUGAUGGAGCGACGCCGCGUGAGCGAAGAAGGCCUUCGGGUUGUAAAGCUCUGUCUGGAGGGACGAAGGAAGUGACGGUACCUCCGGAGGAAGCCACGGCUAACUACGUG